This 440-nucleotide ribosomal RNA is filed under the name uncultured bacterium. Its description in RNAcentral is "partial 16S ribosomal RNA". It matches the Rfam family "Bacterial small subunit ribosomal RNA", at positions 338 to 795 of the family's 1533-position model. The record is from RNAcentral.
CCUACGGGAGGCAGCAGUGGGGAAUAUUGGGCAAUGGAGGAAACUCUGACCCAGCAACGCCGCGUGAAGGAUGAAGGUUUUCGGAUUGUAAACUUCUGUCGCGAGGGAUGAAGAAUGACGGUACCUCGUAAGAAAGCCCCGGCAAACUACGUGCCAGCAGCCGCGGUAAUACGGAGGAUGCGAGCGUUAUCCGGAUUUAUUGGGUUUAAAGGGUGCGUAGGCGGAUUUUUAAGUCAGCGGUAAAAUGUCCGGGCUCAACCCGGGCCGGCCGUUGAAACUGGGGAUCUUGAGUGGGCGAGAAGUAUGCGGAAUGCGUGGUGUAGCGGUGAAAUGCAUAGAUAUCACGCAGAACUCCGAUUGCGAAGGCAGCAUACCGGCGCCCGACUGACGCUGAGGCACGAAAGCGUGGGGAUCGAACAGGAUUAGAUACCCGAGUAGUC